GACGAAUGCAGGCGGCGCGCUUAACAUAUGCAAGUUGAACGGAAAGGUCGUGUGCAUGUGGGGUGCUCGAGCGUCGUACGGUUGACUAAUGCGCGAGUGAUCUGCGCAGGAUCUUGGGAUCUUUUCAUGAAACUGGGGCUGAUACCGGAUGGGAGCUACCGACCUACGGUGGGGCUUGGAACGCUUCGGCCGCAGGGGGGGGAUGCCCGGCUUAUCAGCUGGGUGGUUGGGUGGUGGCCUACCAAGGCGUUGACGGCUAGCCGGCCUGAGAGGGUGACCGGCCACAUUGGGACUGAGAUACAGCCCAGACUCCUACGGGAGGCAGCAGUGGGGAAUAUUGCACAAUGGGCGGAAGCCUGAUGCAGCAACGCCGCGUGCGGGAUGACGGCCUUCGGGUUGUAAACCGCUUUCGCCUGUGACGAAGCGUGAGUGACGGUAAUGGGUAAAGAAGCACCGGCUAACUACGUG
This 468-nucleotide ribosomal RNA is filed under the name uncultured bacterium. Its description in RNAcentral is "partial 16S ribosomal RNA". It matches the Rfam family "Bacterial small subunit ribosomal RNA", at positions 28 to 507 of the family's 1533-position model. The record is from RNAcentral.